AAUUCAAAAAGGCUUGAAAGUUCCCAGGAUUAGAAGAUAGAAAAUACUUUGAGUCGUCACGAUGGCCUCGUAAGGGAAGAUUCUGUCUGCCUGCCAGUAUAAUAGUUUUAAUAAUAGAGCCUAAAACGUCACGAUUGUAUUGAAUGCGGGCAUUUCUAAGAUGAUCGGCUUGUUCGUCGAUGCCAAUAGUUUUACCUUUCAUCACACGUUGGAACUGCGACAAACGUAACUUGGAGUCACGGUGAAUUAGGGAAUAUUUGUCAUGCUGGUAAAAUUUUGUUGUCGCACUUUGCCAGUUUCUUAAGGGUUCCUUAAAUAAUUUACUAAGCUUUGAACCAUUAUGUCCUGUUUGAUGACCGAACAAAACGCAACAAUAACAAAAGGCUCCAUCAAAUAAUUUAGAGUAGCACAACCAGGACCAACGAUCUAGCCAGCCAGCACAAAAUUUUCUUGAAGAUUUACCAUUCUCAGAAAAAGGAAAAUUGAAAGAAGGGGGAGGCUUCCAGUGAUUUGUUAUAAGUCUUAGCUUUGUGUCAUCAUCUAGGGCCGCCACAGAUACAAAAUGUCCAAUAUCCAAGGGAUCAACAUCUGUCAUAUCAGUUUUUACAGAUUUUGACAAGGGACAAGAAGCAUUUGAUACUUUUCCAUCUUCAAAGUCGCAUGAAAGAGGAAGUCUUCAAGCAAUCAUAGCUGCUGCCAUCUAAGUCUUCCCUUGGUGAGGAUUUUGCAGGUGCUACCAAAGUUGUGUCUAUUUGUUGCUCAAGUCCACUUUUAUUUUUCUGUAAGACAUCAACUUUAAAGUGGUC
Xenia sp. Carnegie-2017 is the source of this 806-nucleotide long non-coding RNA. RefSeq lists it as uncharacterized. The transcript is spliced from 2 exons. Lineage: Eukaryota; Metazoa; Cnidaria; Anthozoa; Malacalcyonacea; Xeniidae. The record is from RefSeq and is a predicted model, not a curated record.